UACGGAGGCAGCAGUGGGGAAUUUUGGACAAUGGGCGCAAGCCUGAUCCAGCCAUGCCGCGUGUCUGAAGAAGGCCUUCGGGUUGUAAAGGACUUUUGUCAGGGAAGAAAAGGGCGGGGUUAAUACCCCUGUCUGAUGACGGUACCUGAAGAAUAAGCACCGGCUAACUACGUGCCAGCAGCCGCGGUAAU
Molecule: ribosomal RNA, 191 nt
Filed under: uncultured bacterium
Lineage: Bacteria
Description: partial 16S ribosomal RNA
Rfam family: Bacterial small subunit ribosomal RNA
Source: RNAcentral